CCCCUCAGGGGUGUGUUCUCUCCCCACUUCUAUUCUCCCUCUACACCAAUGACUGCACCUCAGGGGACCCCUCUGUGAAACUCCUGAAGUUUUCAGACGACACCACCGUCAUCGGUCUCAUCAGGGAUGGGGACGAGUCUGCCUUCAGACGGGAGGUGGAACAGCUGGCUCUUUGGUGCAGUCAGAACCAUCUAGGAACUGAACCCGCUCAAGACUGUGGAGAUGACAGUGGACUUCAGGAGAAAUCCCCCCCACUCACCCCCCUUACCAUUCUGAAUAGCAAAGUGGCUACCGUGGACUCCUUCAGGUUCCUGGGAUCCACAAUCUCACAGGACCUGAAGUGGACCUCCCACAUAGACACAACCAGGAAAAAGGCACAGCAGAGGAUGUACUUCCUGCGUCAGCUGAGGAAGUUCAACCUGCCCCAGGAGCUGCUGAUCAUGUUCUACACCUCCAUCAUUCAGUCUGUUCUGUGCACCUCCAUCACUGUCUGGUUUGGAUCAAUCAGGACUGCAGAAAAGAUCAUUGGUGUUGAUCUGCCUUACAUCCAAGACUUAUACCUGUCCAGGGUCAGGAAACGGGCAGGUAGCAUCACUGCAGACCCCUCACACCCUGCACACAAUCUGUUUAAACUCCUCUCCUCCGGCAGACGCUACAGAUCACUGUACGCAAAAACUACACGCCAUAAAAACAGUUUCUUCCCUCAGGCUGUCACUGUGAUCAACACUAAACAGUCAUAGAGUGUCAGACCUGUUUCUGUUACUGUGAAAUAACCUGGAACUAAACAUAACAACCCUGGAUCAACCUGUCACUGAGAAUGUUCAUGGACAUAAUAUUUUCAUUUAAAUGUUCACCUGCACUACUCAUCAAUGCACUACUGCACUAUUAUCUUAUUAUUAUUAUUGUAUUUUUAUUUCAUUUCAUUAUUAUUAUUAUUAUUAUUAUUAUUAUUAUUAUUAUUAUUAUUAUUAUUAUUAUUAUUAUCUUGUUAUUUUAUUUAG
This 1001-nucleotide long non-coding RNA is filed under the name Gouania willdenowi (blunt-snouted clingfish). RNAcentral's name for it is "lncRNA (ENSGWIG00000014821.1)". The record is from RNAcentral. Lineage: Eukaryota; Metazoa; Chordata; Actinopteri; Blenniiformes; Gobiesocidae.